This 452-nucleotide ribosomal RNA is filed under the name uncultured bacterium. Its description in RNAcentral is "bacterial SSU rRNA". It matches the Rfam family "Bacterial small subunit ribosomal RNA", at positions 355 to 825 of the family's 1533-position model. The record is from RNAcentral.
UGGGGAAUAUUGGGCAAUGGAGGGAACUCUGACCCAGCGACGCCGCGUGCGGGAUGAAGGCCUUCGGGUUGUAAACCGCUUUCAGCAGGGAAGAAGCGAAAGUGACGGUACCUGCAGAAGAAGCACCGGCUAACUAUGUGCCAGCAGCCGCGGUAAUACAUAGGGUGCAAGCGUUGUCCGGAAUUAUUGGGCGUAAAGCGCGCGUAGGCGGUCGUAUAAGUCGGAUGUGAAAGCCCUUGGCUCAACCAAGGAACUGCGUCCGAUACUGUACGGCUUGAGGCUGGUAGGGGGUAGCGGAAUUCCCGGUGUAGCGGUGGAAUGCGUAGAUAUCGGGAGGAACACCGAUGGCGAAAGCGGCUACCUGGGCCAGAUCUGACGCUGAGGCGCGAAAGCUAGGGGAGCAAACAGGAUUAGAUACCCCCGUAGUCCCUGAGCGGGCUGGCAAGGCGCAU